Long non-coding RNA from Bos taurus (domestic cattle), 781 nucleotides. The record is from Ensembl. Lineage: Eukaryota; Metazoa; Chordata; Mammalia; Artiodactyla; Bovidae.
ACACACGCUGCUGAGUGAAGACAGCAGUCUCAAAAGGGAGAUGUCAGCAAAUCAAAGCCUACUUUUUCACAUCCAUGAAGCUGGUGAGAAUUCAGGUGUGUGUCUGUGGGACAUGACCGGGCCCCACCCUGUGCGGAGCAGGUGCCUCCCAGGACUUCAAAGGUCCCAGAGAAAAGGGGCUGCAAACAGAAAGAGCUGGAAGUUUUGAUUUUCCUGAGAAGUCUCAGGCUUUUGUAAGGCCUUACAAAUAGCUGAGAAGAGAAGCAAAAGGCAAAGGAGAAACGGAAAGAUAUACCCAUUCGAAUGCAGAGUUCCAAAGAAUAGCAAGGAGAGAUAAGAAAGCCUUCCUCAGCGAUCAAUGCAAAGAAAUAGAGGAAAACAAUAGAAUGGAAAAGACUAGAGAUCUCUUCAAGAAAAUUAUAGAUACCAACUGAACAUUUCAUGCAAAGAUGGGCACAAUAAAGGACAGAAAUGGUAUGGACCUAAAGCAGAAGAUAUUAAGCAGAGGUGGCAAGAAUACACAGAAGAAUUGUACAAAAAAGGUCUUCAUGACCCAGAUAAUCAUGAUGGUGUGAUCACUCACCUAGAGCCAGACAUCCUGGAAUGUGAAGUUAAGUGGGCCUUAGGAACCAUUACUUACGAACAAAACUAGUGGAGGUGAUGGGAUUCCAGCUGAGCUAUUUCAAAUCCUGAAAGGUGAUGCUGUGAAAGUGCUGCACUCAAUAUGCCAGCAAAUCUGGAACACUCAGCAGUGGCCACAGCACUGGAAAAGGUCAGUUAU